This 433-nucleotide ribosomal RNA is filed under the name uncultured bacterium. RNAcentral's name for it is "partial 16S ribosomal RNA". It matches the Rfam family "Bacterial small subunit ribosomal RNA", at positions 29 to 507 of the family's 1533-position model. The record is from RNAcentral.
AACGAACGCUGGCGGCAUGCCUAACACAUGCAAGUCGAACGAAGGCUUCGGCCUUAGUGGCGCACGGGUGCGUAACGCGUGGGAAUCUGCCCUUUGGUUCGGAAUAACAGCUGGAAACGGCUGCUAAUACCGGAUGAUGACGAAAGUCCAAAGAUUUAUCGCCAGAGGAUGGGCCCGCGUUGGAUUAGGUAGUUGGUGGGGUAAAGGCCUACCAAGCCGACGAUCCAUAGCUGGUCUGAGAGGAUGAUCAGCCACACUGGGACUGAGAAACGGCCCAGACUACUACGGGAGGGAGCAGUGGGGAAUAUAGGAAAAUGGGGGCAAGCCUGAUCCAGCAAUGCCGGGUGAGUGAUGAAGGGAGUAGGGUUGUAAAGCUCUUUUACCCGGGAAGAUAAUGACUGUACCGGGAGAAUAAGCCCCGGCUAACUACGUG